This 552-nucleotide long non-coding RNA is filed under the name Sorghum bicolor (sorghum). RNAcentral describes it as "long non-coding RNA (SBIC_LNC002717)". The record is from RNAcentral. Lineage: Eukaryota; Viridiplantae; Streptophyta; Magnoliopsida; Poales; Poaceae.
AGGUCUCUCUUUUGUGGUAUUUUUGGAUCCUUACCAAGGCAUUGAUGGUAUAUGCCUUCUCUCAAGAUAUGUGGUAUUUGUGGUAUAAAGCAUAGUGACAUUGCCUUCUCUCUCACCCUACUCUAAUAAGGCUUUAAUAUCUGGAGCUUAUAGGUGGGAGAUAAAGUAUACAUACUUACAAGACAUGUAUUGCAUAGUCAAACCAUGGAUCCAAAGUAACAAGUCAAUAAGCCAAAUCAAGAUGUGCAUGUGUGGCGAAUGAAUGGUAUAUGGUGAUGAUGGUGAUAACAAUGGUGAAAACAAUGGUGGUGGAAGUCUAAUUCUACUUUGCUCUUUUGAUGGGAUACAUACCUUCCUUGCUUUUGAAACUUUGUGAGGAGAAUGAGAUGCUCUUCUUUUUCUUUUCUCUCAGGUGGGUAUCUUGCACCCCCUAAUUCUACUAUCGGACACUUGUCCAUUUUUACCUCUCGUCUCACUUUUUCUUUUCUUUCGAGGUUCCGAGCACUUGCUCCUUUUUAUUUCCUCGUAUUAUUAUUUUUUUUAGAGCAUUCA